RNAcentral lists this ribosomal RNA (845 nucleotides) under uncultured Halomonas sp. Its description in RNAcentral is "bacterial SSU rRNA". It matches the Rfam family "Archaeal small subunit ribosomal RNA", at positions 41 to 887 of the family's 1478-position model. Lineage: Bacteria; Pseudomonadati; Pseudomonadota; Gammaproteobacteria; Oceanospirillales; Halomonadaceae. The record is from RNAcentral.
CGAUUUAGCCAUGCUAGUCGCACGGGUUCAGACCCGUGGCAUAGUGCUCAGUAACACGUGGCCAAACUACCCUGUGGACGGAGAUAACCUCGGGAAACUGAGGCUAAUAUCCGAUACGACUCGCCAGCUGGAGUGCGGCGAGUCGGAAACGUUGCGGCGCCACAGGAUGUGGCUGCGGCCGAUUAGGUAGACGGUGGGGUAACGGCCCACCGUGCCCAUAAUCGGUACAGGUCAUGAGAGUGAGAGCCUGGAGACGGUAUCUGAGACAAGAUGCCGGGCCCUACGGGGCGCAGCAGGCGCGAAACCUUUACACUGCACGACAGUGCGAUAGGGGGACUCCGAGUGCGAGGGCAUAUAGUCCUCGCUUUUCUAUACCGUAAGGUGGUACAGGAAUAAGGGCUGGGCAAGACCGGUGCCAGCCGCCGCGGUAAUACCGGCAGCCCGAGUGAUGGCCGCUAUUAUUGGGCCUAAAGCGUCCGUAGCCGGCCAGACAAGUCCGUUGGGAAAUCCACGCGCUUAACGCGUGGACGUCCGGCGGAAACUGUCUUCCUUGGGGCCGGAAGAUCUGAGGGGUACGUCCGGGGUAGGAGUGAAAUCCCGUAAUCCUGGACGGACCGCCGGUGGCGAAAGCGCCUCAGAAAGACGGACCCGACGGUGAGGGACGAAAGCUAGGGUCUCGAACCGGAUUAGAUACCCGGGUAGUCCUAGCUGUAAACGAUGCUCGCUAGGUGUGCCGCAGGCUACGAGCCUGCGCUGUGCCGUAGGGAAGCCGUGAAGCGAGCCGCCUGGGAAGUACGUCUGCAAGGAUGAAACUUAAAGGAAUUGGCGGGGGAGCACUACAACCG